UACGGGGGGGGCAAGCGUUGUUCGGAAUUACUGGGCGUAAAGGGCGCGUAGGCGGCCUUCUAAGUCGGACGUGAAAUCCCUCGGCUCAACCGAGGAACUGCGUCUGAUACUGGAAGGCUUGAAUCCGGGAGAGGUGAGUGGAACUGCGAGUGUAGAGGUGAAAUUCGUAGAUAUUCGCAAGAACACCAGUGGCGAAGGCGGCUCACUGGCCCGGUACUGACGCUGAGGUGCGAAAGCGUGGGGAGCAAACAGG
RNAcentral lists this ribosomal RNA (253 nucleotides) under uncultured bacterium. RNAcentral's name for it is "partial 16S ribosomal RNA". It matches the Rfam family "Bacterial small subunit ribosomal RNA", at positions 524 to 776 of the family's 1533-position model. The record is from RNAcentral.